AACCCUCAACACCACGGGGAUCAUCCGAUAAGAUUGGAGCGACACAGAGAAGACUAGCAUUGCCCCGGCGCAAGGAUGGCACGCACAAAUCGAGAAGUGUACCAAGUUCAA
Molecule: small nuclear RNA, 111 nt
Filed under: Symbiodinium microadriaticum
Lineage: Eukaryota; Dinophyceae; Suessiales; Symbiodiniaceae
Source: RNAcentral